CGGGCUUCUUCCAGAGCAAGUGUUUCAGGAGACCCAGGUGAAAGCUCAAAGACUUCUUUUGACCUCAAAAGGAGGAUACUACACAAAGGUGUAAAUAUUGGGAGGUGCAGUUCAUUGGUGGGGGGUGGAGAUGAGGGAGAAAUCUUUGGUGACUAGCUAUCAGAUGAAGGAAAGUAGAAUCUGCAGCUAAAAAUCAAGUUAUCUGUUAGUCCACCCGACUGACAGGGCUCUAUUUUUAAAAACAAGUCCAAUUGCCUGUAAUACAGCCUUUAUUUUUUGGUUAAGUAUAGCAGAUCCGGAGUUCCUUUUAAUUAAACAAAAGAUAAAAAGAAAAACUUUGAACUUAAAUGACUUGUAUCUCUUUAAACUGUAUUUAAUCUCUUCUUUAUUAGAGCAUAUGACGGCUCUGUUGAUGGCUGGAGGCAGAUCUACAACCAUUCUAGGGCUGACCAGCCAAAACAGGCUUGUGACCUCUCACCUACUUUGAAUGAUUCACUCAGUCUAUUCACCGCCCAGGAAUGUUGGCUUUGGCAAAGAACCACAAGUCUCUUAAAAUAAAUACAACUGGGCUUUCAUCUCAUAGCGAUCGCUGCUGGCUGCAUAUUUCACACACUGUAUGGCAGGAUAUGUUAAAUUAAAAUCAUAAUCUCCCCAGUGAAAUUCAGGGCCUGGUUAAGCCACUCGAGAAUUACUCAUGCAUUAACUUCCAAUGAAGAAUAUGAGUAAGAUCUUCAGCCAUUAACUCUCCCAGGUAGUGGUCUCAUCCUCUCCCAAUUAUCUAACCCACAGUAAAUUAAACCCAUCCAGAAGAAUGUCAUUUGGGAAGGAAGAAGUCAAUGCCGACGCUCUUUUAAAUAUGUAGGUCCUGGAGAGGUGAGCUUGAACGACCUUGUCAGUUCUCUCAAUCAUAUCUCAAAGUUUAACUUAAAUCUUGCUAAAUCAAUAUGCCCAAUCCAUAUGGAUUAACAAUAUGCUCAACAUUGUGUUAAAUGUUUUGAAUAGUUCAAAGAAUAUAUGACACUGAGCCUC
Molecule: long non-coding RNA, 1029 nt
Filed under: Papio anubis (olive baboon)
Lineage: Eukaryota; Metazoa; Chordata; Mammalia; Primates; Cercopithecidae
Description: lncRNA (ENSPANG00000048275.1)
Source: RNAcentral